This 382-nucleotide ribosomal RNA is filed under the name uncultured bacterium. Its description in RNAcentral is "bacterial SSU rRNA". It matches the Rfam family "Bacterial small subunit ribosomal RNA", at positions 518 to 898 of the family's 1533-position model. The record is from RNAcentral.
CGGUAAUACGUAGGGUGCGAGCGUUAAUCGGAAUUACUGGGCGUAAAGCGUGCGCAGGCGGAUUGUUAAGCAAGACGUGAAAUCCCCGGGCUUAACCUGGGAAUGGCGUUUUGAACUGGCAGUCUAGAGUGUGUCAGAGGGGGGUGGAAUUCCACGUGUAGCAGUGAAAUGCGUAGAGAUGUGGAGGAACACCAAUGGCGAAGGCAGCCCCCUGGGAUAACACUGACGCUCAUGUACGAAAGCGUGGGUAGCAAACAGGAUUAGAUACCCUGGUAGUCCACGCCCUAAACGAUGUCAACUGGUUGUUGGGGGAGUGAAAUCCCUUAGUAACGAAGCUAACGCGUGAAGUUGACCGCCUGGGGAGUACGGUCGCAAGAUUAAA